This 499-nucleotide ribosomal RNA is filed under the name uncultured bacterium. Its description in RNAcentral is "partial 16S ribosomal RNA". It matches the Rfam family "Bacterial small subunit ribosomal RNA", at positions 28 to 507 of the family's 1533-position model. The record is from RNAcentral.
GACGAACGCUGGCGGCGUGCCUAAUACAUGCAAGUCGAGCGGACUGAAUGGGAGCUUGCUCUUGUUCGGUCAGCGGCGGACGGGUGAGUAACACGUGGGCAACCUGCCCGCAAGACCGGGAUAACUCCGGGAAACCGGAGCUAAUACCGGAUAACACCGAAGACCGCAUGGUCUUUGGUUGAAAGGCGGCGCAAGCUGCCACUUGCGGAUGGGCCCGCGGCGCAUUAGCUAGUUGGUGAGGUAACGGCUCACCAAGGCGACGAUGCGUAGCCGGCCUGAGAGGGUGACCGGCCACACUGGGACUGAGACACGGCCCAGACGCCUACGGGAGGCAGCAGUAGGGAAUCUUCCGCAAGGGGCGAAAGCCUGACGGAGCGACGCCGAGGGAGCGAAGAAGGCCGUCGGGUCGGAAAGCUCUGUUGUGAGGGACGAAGGAGCGCCGUUUGAAGAAGGCGGCGCGGUGACGGUACCUCACGAGGAAGCCCCGGCUAACUACGUG